Molecule: long non-coding RNA, 391 nt
Filed under: Jatropha curcas
Lineage: Eukaryota; Viridiplantae; Streptophyta; Magnoliopsida; Malpighiales; Euphorbiaceae
Description: long non-coding RNA (JCUR_LNC003029)
Source: RNAcentral
GGCUGAUUCGAGUGAUGCAGGGAUGAAGACAAGGAGAAGGAGAUUAGAAGAAGGUGGUAGUGGUAAUGUUGGUGUUGGUGAUGUGGUGAUGAAGGUGGUUGAGGAGUUGAACAGAGAAAAUUCUGCAGGGGAGAAAUUGAAGGGUGAAAAAAAAGUGAGAAGUAAUGGGAAAAGUGGAUCUAGUCCUUUGAAUGGUGUUAGGAAUUCACCAAGGAGAAGGGGAUUAGAUGAAGGUGGUAAUGGUAAUAGUAGUGUUGGUGCUGGUGAUGUGGUGAUGGAGGUGGUUGAGGAGUUGAAUAGAGAAAAUUCCACCGGGAAGAAAUUAAGAGGUGAAAAGAAAGGGAAAAGUGAAGGGAAGGAUGCGUCUCCUUUGAAUGGCGUUCGGAUCUCA